UAUGGGAUGGGGUCGCGUCCUAUCAGCUUGAUGGCGGGGUAACGGCCCACCAUGGCUUCGACGGGUAGCCGCCCUGAGAGGGCGACCGGCCACAUUGGGACUGAGAUACGGCCCAGACUCCUACGGGAGGCAGCAGUGGGGAAUAUUGCACAAUGGGCGCAAGCCUGAUGCAGCGACGCCGCGUGCGGGAUGACGGCCUUCGGGUUGUAAACCGCUUUUGACUGGGAGCAAGCCCUUCGGGGUGAGUGUACCUUUCGAAUAAGCACCGGCUAACUACGUGCCAGCAGCCGCGGUAAUACGUAGGGUGCAAGCGUUAUCCGGAAUUAUUGGGCGUAAAGGGCUCGUAGGCGGUUCGUCGCGUCCGGUGUGAAAGUCCAUCGCUUAACGGUGGAUCCGCGCCGGGUACGGGCGG
RNAcentral lists this ribosomal RNA (412 nucleotides) under uncultured Bifidobacterium sp. RNAcentral's name for it is "bacterial SSU rRNA". It matches the Rfam family "Bacterial small subunit ribosomal RNA", at positions 219 to 639 of the family's 1533-position model. Lineage: Bacteria; Bacillati; Actinomycetota; Actinomycetes; Bifidobacteriales; Bifidobacteriaceae. The record is from RNAcentral.